GAUGAACGCUGGCGGCGUGCCUAAUACAUGCAAGUCGAGCGAACAGACGAGGAGCUUGCUCCUCUGACGUUAGCGGCGGACGGGUGAGUAACACGUGUAUAACCUACCUAUAAGACUGGGAUCACUUCGGGAAACCGGAGCUAAUACCGGAUAACAUGUUGAACCGCAUGGUUCAACAGUGAAAGACGGUCUUGCUGUCUCUUCUAGAUGGAUCCGCGCCGCAUUAGCUAGUUGGUAAGGUAACGGCUUACCAAGGCAACGAUGCGUAGCCGACCUGAGAGGGUGAUCGGCCACACUGGAACUGAGACACGGUCCAGACUCCUACGGGAGGCAGCAGUAGGGAAUCUUCCGCAAUGGGCGAAAGCCUGACGGAGCAACGCCGCGUGAGUGAAGAAGGUCUUCGGAUCGUAAAACUCUGUUAUUAGGGAAGAACAAAUGUGUAAGUAACUAUGCCCGUCUUGACGGUACCUAAUCAGAAAGCCACGGCUAACUACGCG
Molecule: ribosomal RNA, 497 nt
Filed under: uncultured bacterium
Lineage: Bacteria
Description: partial 16S ribosomal RNA
Rfam family: Bacterial small subunit ribosomal RNA
Source: RNAcentral